Non-coding RNA from Misgurnus anguillicaudatus (oriental weatherfish), 1462 nucleotides. The record is from RefSeq and is a predicted model, not a curated record. Lineage: Eukaryota; Metazoa; Chordata; Actinopteri; Cypriniformes; Cobitidae.
AUGUAAAACGUCACAUAGAACGUCCGGUCUCUAAGGGAACCGAGGUUACUGUAGUAACCGAUAUGUUUACACUCUGUUUAUGGUAAGGAGAAAAACAGGCAGGUGGCUCAACCGCUCCGCUAAAGAUCCACUGAUUCCGAUGAUCCACUUCGUGUUUUCUCGACCGCUCCGCAGCAUCUCUCCCAAAAUCUGGAGUGGAGGCGACCGUUCACGAAGUUCGUUGCAUUAACAGGACUGUUUCCUGAACAUGGGAGAGUACAGGAUGACUGGAUGUGCACAAAGGCUUCGCAUAAAAAGUGGAGCAAUUCCAACUUUGCAAGUACACUCUGGAUCUUCUGAUUCACAGUCUCGUUGCCAUGUCCGGUUGCCAGGUCUCUUCCAAACAUGGUAAGGCACGUCACAUUUCCGUUUGCACACUUGAGGUAUUCGGCCAAUCGUAACGCACCGGAUAGCUGGCCAAUCUCGUCACACAUCGCUUUCUCAGAACGAUGAGCUUUGUACAAAUCGUCGCUUUUCAAAAAGGCGGGGCAUAGAGGAAUAACAAUAAUGUUACGGUAUGUGGAAUAUAAUAUGUUUUUGAACCAUAAACCACGCAAACACAUUGCAUUACACCAAAUACACAAUUCACGAGUUCGCAUUAACAUGUAAUCGAUAGGGAAUGAGAUAAAGCAUUUUUGGCGUGCUGUUCGAGGAGAGGGCUCAGAGCUCAGAAUUUUAGCCCGAACCCAGAGUACUCCCCUCUCUUUAACUGGGGUUGCCAGCGGGCGUUAAAUAAAUGCUGCAAAUCAUGGUAUAAGAUUAAUGUCAACUUUGCCAGGUCUACCUAGCAGGUUUUUUAUUUUACGGGCUGGUUCGAAAAAAGAAAAAAAAUGCUUAAAUGAAGAUUAAGAGAUUACCUGGUGCGGCAUGUUUUAUACAGCUCGGGAUCUGCAGAGGCAGAUUGGGAUAAUAACAUAUUUACCGGGAUCCUGGGACAGAAUUAAGCCAUGAUUAAUGUCAGACAUCAUUUAAAUGGUGAAAUCAGCGUCAUAGAUAGCUCCACCAUCGACUAGAAAGAACAAAUCAACUGGCAGGUGACAAAUAUUAGAUUUUGAAAUAAAUAUUUUUUUAUAUAUUUGGCAAUAUAUAAAAGUUUUUGAGGAAUUAUACAUUUUUUGGAGAUUGGAAAUGGAUGUUCCUGAGUGUUAAGUUGUGUUUUUUUAGUACGGACCUGCAAAACGUAACUGUAACAUAAGGUGACCAGAUUUUUAAAAUGAAAACCGGGGACAUUUCCUAGUUAAAUGGUCAAAAUAUCAUUAAAAUCUCGUUUGUUGUUAUCUAUGAAUUAAAAAAUGUGUUGUGGGUUCACAGCAAAAAAUGACUUACUUCUUACUUAAUAGUAUUUUUGUCUUAUUUUCAGUACAAAUAUCUAAAAAAUCUUAAAUCAAGAUGCAUUUUCUUGAUAAGCAAAAUCCUCUAAGAA